This 33-nucleotide ribosomal RNA is filed under the name Porodaedalea yamanoi (nom. illeg.). RNAcentral describes it as "Porodaedalea yamanoi partial 28S ribosomal RNA". The record is from RNAcentral. Lineage: Eukaryota; Fungi; Basidiomycota; Agaricomycetes; Hymenochaetales; Hymenochaetaceae.
CCUCAAAUCAGGUAGGACUACCCGCUGAACUUA